UGGGGAAUUUUGGACAAUGGGCGAAAGCCUGAUCCAGCAAUGCCGCGUGCGUGAAGAAGGCCUUCGGGUUGUAAAGCACUUUUGUCCGGAAAGAAAUCCUUGGCUCUAAUACAGUCGGGGGAUGACGGUACCGGAAGAAUAAGCACCGGCUAACUACGUGCCAGCAGCCGCGGUAAUACGUAGGGUGCAAGCGUUAAUCGGAAUUACUGGGCGUAAAGCGUGCGCAGGCGGUUUGCUAAGACCGAUGUGAAAUCCCCGGGCUCAACCUGGGAACUGCAUUGGUGACUGGCAGGCUAGAGUAUGGCAGAGGGGGGUAGAAUUCCACGUGUAGCAGUGAAAUGCGUAGAGAUGUGGAGGAAUACCGAUGGCGAAGGCAGCCCCCUGGGCCAAUACUGACGCUCAUGCACGAAAGCGUGGGGGAGCAAACAGGAUUAGAUACCCUGGUAGUCCACGCCCUAAACGAUGUCAACUAGUUGUUGGGGAUUCAUUUCCUUAGUAACGUAGCUAACGCGUGAAGUUGACCGCCUGGGGAGUACGGUCGCAAGAUUAAAACUCAAAUGAAUUGACGGGGUCAUAGCUGUUUCCU
This 586-nucleotide ribosomal RNA is filed under the name uncultured bacterium. RNAcentral's name for it is "partial 16S ribosomal RNA". It matches the Rfam family "Bacterial small subunit ribosomal RNA", at positions 355 to 1375 of the family's 1533-position model. The record is from RNAcentral.